Molecule: ribosomal RNA, 479 nt
Filed under: Salmonella enterica subsp. enterica serovar Irumu
Lineage: Bacteria; Pseudomonadati; Pseudomonadota; Gammaproteobacteria; Enterobacterales; Enterobacteriaceae
Description: partial 23S ribosomal RNA
Rfam family: Bacterial large subunit ribosomal RNA
Source: RNAcentral
CAGAGGCGAUGAAGGACGUGCUAAUCUGCGAUAAGCGCCGGUAAGGUGAUAUGAACCGUUAUAACCGGCGAUUUCCGAAUGGGGAAACCCAGUGUGACUCGUCACACUAUCAUUAACUGAAUCCAUAGGUUAAUGAGGCGAACCGGGGGAACUGAAACAUCUAAGUACCCCGAGGAAAAGAAAUCAACCGAGAUUCCCCCAGUAGCGGCGAGCGAACGGGGAGGAGCCCAGAGCCUGAAUCAGCAUGUGUGUUAGUGGAAGCGUCUGGAAAGGCGCGCGAUACAGGGUGACAGCCCCGUACACAAAAGCGCAUGUGCUGUGAGCUCGAUGAGUAGGGCGGGACACGUGGUAUCCUGUCUGAAUAUGGGGGGACCAUCCUCCAAGGCUAAAUACUCCUGACUGACCGAUAGUGAACCAGUACCGUGAGGGAAAGGCGAAAAGAACCCCGGCGAGGGGAGUGAAAAAGAACCUGAAACCGU